CACUGUACAUCAGAGCAUCAGUCACUCUUAUGAGUUUCGCUGUCUAAUUAGAAUGAGAAAUGAAGACAUACAAAGGCCAGGGCUCUGGGAAAUGUGUACACAACUGUUACUGUUCUCUGACUCCCUCUCACUCUGAUAGAUCCUGUGGUCCCUACUAAGGACCUUUCGCUGAUCCAGAAGCACAUACCUUACACCACCCCUCCUUUUCUCAAGAUUCAUAAUAACUGAUUCACAUCAAGUCGGGCCUCCAAAAGAGACCUGCUGGGUGACAUGGCACGUGCAGCGAGCACAGCUGAGAGACAGAAUGAGCAGGUGGCUGGGGUCACAGAGUUUAGCAUUGCCAGGGGAUGCACGGGACCAGAGAGACUAUCAUUACUGGCAUGGAUCUUUCCGGGCUUCAAGGACCUAAUAUUUCAAUGUUUACGAAAUUACCUCACAGGGAGAGAGAAAGCAAUUAACUCUCAGAGUAAUUUCAAAUAGCAGCAUUUUAAAAUUCAGAAUAACAAAAACAGGGCAGAGUGGAUGUCAUUGAUGAAUCACUAUGGCAGGAGGAAACCGCUCUCUUAAAGUGAUCUGAAAAUAUUUAUGAAAUGCCUCCUGUUUGCCCAACACUUUGGAGAUUAAGAAAGUUGUAUAAAACAUGAUUCCAUUCCUCAGUGAGGUUGUAGGAUUUAUACUUAAGACUCACUUUUUAAAGCAUUUUAAGUAUGGAUACAAGACAGGUAUGCCUACAAGUGAGUGGGUUAUAUGCCAUGGUGUAUUGGUUAAUCAGCUCUCUCAGAAAACGUAAAACUCUGAUUUAUAGUGUUUUUCAUUUCUGUGGUGCUCAUACUCCCACCAGAGCCAUCACUGAAUACAGAGUUGGAAAGAGAUGUGUACAGUUGUUUCUCACAAGCUGAUCCAAUCUGGCUCCAGAACACAUACAUCAUUUGUCUGCAUGUGCGACACCUUAAAGGAUAUUCUUUAGAUUGUAGGUGUCCUAGAUGUCUGGAGAUGGAAGGUUGGCUAGUUGGACUCCUAUCAGGAAGGCCUUCAUAGGGGAAGUUUAGAAUUUAAAUGGGAGAAGGACUUUGUAUGUUGAACUCUCAAAAUAUAAGGCUGCUUGGUUUAUUCUCCACCUCUCCAUGCCCUGACACAGCCUCUGGAUGUAGUAGAUGCUCAAUAAAGAAAUGUUUGCUCAAAAACAAACAAAAAAAUAUGGUUAGACUGAAGGCAAUGGGGAAGGUUUUUUGGAGCAAAACUUAUUUUUUAAAAAGCAAAAGUAAAAUUGAGAGACAAAGUAUGACCAAAUGUUAAUGUCUAUUAAAGCUGUUGGUAGAUGCAUACAUUUGGUUAUUAUGUAUUUCAUUUCCUGCCUUCUUCCAUAUAUUGAAAAGAUAUAAAAACUACUUAAAUCUUUGAAAAGGGCAAGAGGAAAAAUGAAAUUAUGUGAACAAAGGCACAGAAGUAGGAAUGAACACAAUCUGGUGGGUACUGCGAAGACCCUGAACCAGUCAGAGUGUGGCAGGGAAUAUCAAACAUCAAGGCUGGUUGUAAGAACAGGGAUGAAAGGAGAUCUCACCCCAGUUAACUGCUGCCUUUCACACUGCUUCCUAAGUGGUGCUAAAGAACUCAACCCAUUCUUUCUCCUUAGAAUUACAGUUCAUGUGUUAACUUUUGAAUUUCUGUAUUUUUGGAGAGAAUAUUAAUAAUCAAAAUAAGGAAUAGGUGGGGAAGGAAAUAUUUCAUCUUUUUUUCCAUAGGGAAAUGGACAACUUAACUAAAAACAUUUGUUACUGUUAAAUGAAAUCAGUGGUAUCCAGUGGUGUUUAUUAACAUAGCUGCCUCUAUAUUGAACACAACCUAAAUUGUCCAACCCCCUUUCCUGCCCUAAAUGCACACAUAUUCUGAAGCAGCCUAAAAUAGUGUCCUGUUAGACAAAGGUAUAGAAUGCCAUAGGGUCCUCUGAAUUAGAGUUCAGGGUUCUGUUCAUUGCAUAAAACAAAGAAUAAAUCAUACAUAUAUUUAAACUCUGUUGGAAGUCUAUUGUGGAGAAAAUGAAAGAGGACAAAAUGUAAUAAUCACAGUAAGGUGGCAUUCAAGAAACUAGAAAAAAUAUAGAGAAGGGCAUUCUCUAUUCUGCUUGUAUAUUUCACAUCUCUGUAUUAGCACUGUGUAGCAUUAAAUAGCACCUUAGAAAAUAACUCUGAGCACACAAGUUCUCAGAAAACAUUCACUCUAUUUUCAAUGCACUCUAAAUAAUGCCUUCAGCACCCUACAGACAUGCCAUCAAAUUACAGUAAUAGGAAAACGACAAAAAAUGCUUGCCUGAAGCACAGGAUUUCUAGAACUGAGGAUGAGGCUUCCUUACUCUUUCAGGCCUUUAUUGUCUAUAGCUUGCUUAGAUUAGCUACGUUAGAAUCUGCGUUAAAAUAAAGGCUACAAUGGUGGUUAUUAAACAAAUAGGGUCACAAAUUUAUCAUCAGAAACAAUUUUCAAAAAAGAGGAAUUGAUAAAAAAAUUUACCAACUUAGGCAUGGCCAGUGUGCAUCUGGUGUACAUGCUAGUGAUUAGGAACAUACACUCUGUAUUUUUCUCAUAGAGUCUAAAUCCAAGCUGAACCCCAUUAAAAUGCUCAUUUAUGUCUUUAUACACAGUCCUUUCCCCCUUUUGUUAGACUCUCUGUGUUUGCCUUUACAAAAUGUUUAGAUUAUCUCAUGGAAUAAAACUUCUAUCUGUUAUCACGGAAUUUCCAGGUCAGAGGAUUUUUCUCCUACCAAAAAUUAAAUAAUGAAAAUUUAAAAAGAAUCUGAACUUCCCAUCAUGGCUCAGCAGUUAAUGAACCCAACUAGCAUCCAUAAGGACACGGGUUCGAUCCCUUGCCUUGCUCAAUGGGUUAAGGAUCCUGUGUUGCUGUGAGCUGUGGUGUACAUGGCAGAUGCUGCUCAAAUCCCACAUUGCUAUGGUGUAGGCUGGUAGCUUCAGCUCUGAUUUGACCCCUAUCCUGGAACUUCCUUAUGCUGUGGGUGCUGCC
RNAcentral lists this long non-coding RNA (3013 nucleotides) under Sus scrofa (pig). RNAcentral describes it as "lncRNA (ENSSSCG00000063499.1)". Lineage: Eukaryota; Metazoa; Chordata; Mammalia; Artiodactyla; Suidae. The record is from RNAcentral.